Molecule: long non-coding RNA, 3913 nt
Organism: Strigops habroptila (Kakapo)
Lineage: Eukaryota; Metazoa; Chordata; Aves; Psittaciformes; Psittacidae
Exons: 3
Source: RefSeq, a predicted model, not a curated record
UGAGCGGGCCCGCUGCUUGCCGCAAGUUUCACCCGGAGCGGGAAAGUUGGGCGCGGCGCCGCGGCCCGGCGGGACUCGGCCAGAUUCCUGGAAAUCUGAGGAGCAGUCUCUCGUGGCCAAAGAACGCAAUUCUCUCCGGAAGUGUGGGUGUCUUGUAUGAAGGGGACUGAAGUAGGAUCAGUAGGAUCAGCUGGUAUUCAAGAAAUCUGUGCAGAAGACAUGAGAGCUCUGUAAAGUUACUAAUGCUGUUUGUCCUCUACCAUCUGACAGCCUAAAGACAGGAAGCUAAAGAGGUUCAAUUUCAAGAUGGAUCAAGUGGAGCAUAUUGGAAACCUGUAAACAAGAAGUCUGAUCUCCCCUCUUUUUUCCCUUUAAGUCUGCACCAUAGCAACUAUCUACACAGAAGGAUUUCAUGUCUUGUAUGAGGAAAUCUGUAGAGAAGCCUUGUUGUUCUUCUGUUCAUUUCUAUCACAAAGAUACAUUAGACGAACAUAUCUGGUGCUGUCUUGGAAAGUUGGGUGUUUCAUUCCUGGGAGGAACUGAUUGUAGAUACUGGCUUUGUUAAAAGAUCUUACUUUUCUGUUACGCUUCCUUCCAUGUCAGUGUGCCGAGUUGGGAAUCCAAUUGUAAAAGAACUGUGAACUCGCACUGGAAAAUAACAUCCAAGUUUUCUAAUCUGAGCAUUUCUCCUCCUCAACAGGAAGAUCUGCAGGUUUUCCACGUGUUAGUUAAAUGGAAUGAAAUUGGCAGCUUUAGGAAAAGAACGUUUCAGUACAGAGUUUGAAUAAUUAAAAUUUGGAAUUGAACACAUUUUUGCCUUGGGCAUUUUGCAGUUGCUGCUUAUGACGACAGUGUUAUUUUGAAAUGAUUUGGACCUUUUGUCAGUAUCACCAAUUUAAGAGUGGUUUAGCCCUUAUGCUGCCGAGUGGAGGUAUGCUAAGGGGAAGAAAGGGCAACUGUUUUUCAUUAUGACACAGACAAAAAGCUUCAAGCAUAAACUAAAGGUAUGGAAAGCAUCUUCCUCGCAGUAGUGUCAGCUGGAUCUAGUCCUAAGCCUGUCUGCUACUUUUCUGUGGUUAUAUGAGUGGGUUUUUUUCCCCUACCAACUGACUGAUGUUUGUGAAGAUGCUUGCAAUGGGGCUAAAGCUGACAUAUUCCUGCCUGGUUACUCACCUUGAGGGGCACAUGGUCUGCCCUGGUAGGCAGUAAGCGCUUACGAACACAAUUUUUCUUGGCUAUCUGAGUGUAGUCAUUCAUUGUACCUAAAAUAGAUUUAAAAUGUUUCUAGGAGGGGUAUUGGUUCUUUAAGUCCCUCAAAUUUCUGGCAGUUGCUGCCUGAUGUCUUGGGACAUGGGUGACUGGACUUGGUCAUGUCAUUGUCAGUAUUUCUCUUGCAGAGAAGUUCUCUAAACCAGUGGCAGACUACACUUGGUAGGUGUAUUGAGCUACAAGAUAGUGUUAUAAGCAAAUACAUGUUCUCCUCCAUGAAAGCUGUAGAAGCAGCAAAUGCUCCGAACUGCAUCUCUAGAGUGUCUGAUGGUUUAGGUACUGGUGAAGCAUUUUUGUUCCUAGAGAUUUAGUAGCUCCUCCUAAGACUUGUAUAGUUCAACUUCUAAUGUAUGGAUAUGGCAUUUUUGCUUUAUAAGUCAGGCAUUUUUUACUUUCUAAAGAUGUUUCCGUGGCCGCAGCAAAUCUGGUCUGUCUUGUGAAGUAUGUGAGUGGAAACAGCAUGUGCUAAAAUUGCAUCAUGAACUAAAUCAGGGUUGUGACAUACAUCAUAUAUUGAGAAAUAGUUUGCAUUGAAUUUCAGUUGCUUACUGAAAAGGAUGUUUGAAAGUAUAAAUCUUCUAGCGUUCGUUGUAAGCGAUAAAUCGUCUCUCUGAUUUGUUUGCAUUUUGCUUUAUAUUGCUAAUAUUCUGCUUUAAUUUGCUGGAGUUAAUUUGCAGGAACCAGUUUCUCUCCUCGUAGGAGAGAACUGUCAGCUGAUGGGAUGAAAGAUUCUUUGAGCUGACCAAAAAAGUAACUAAUGCACCUUGAAUGCAGUAAUACCUGUAGGCUAGGCUAUGUUUUUCUUCUGUGAUUUGUGUCAGAUCUCGUUUUAAGUUUCCAGUCACUUUAAACUUAAUAAGAGUAAAACAUUUGCAUAUUAAAAAACAAGGUGUAUGCUUUCUAAUCCAGGCAAUUAGGAUCAUUGCAGUAAAUUCUGCUGCAGAAAUUUGUGUCAGCGCUCUGCCUUUCUGAAGAAUCUGAAGACACAUAAUGUAAAACUGAACAUCAUUCAAUCUUCACUUCCAGUUGUUUAUCAUUUCAGAAUGAAAUGGUUUAAAAAUUAAAAUCUGAACCCAACUUAAUUUUCAAUUUCCUCUUUGGUUCCUGUUUUAGCAUCUCUCAACAUUACUGUCGUGUUGGCAGGAGGUGUCAUGUUGCUGGGCUCUCAAGAACAAAGUUUCCUGGCAGUGGCAUGAACAGCACUGGGGCAGAUUUUUUUGUUAUGAAGAGGGUGUAUAUGUUACCAUGCUGCUUAAAUUUGGUUUUUGACCUCUGCUGAAGUGGCUAAUGGUGACGACACAAUCUUUUCUCAUACUGUCCUGGGGUAGCUUCAGUGCAGCUUGUGCAGCCCACCGGAGCUGUGAGCUGGCAGAUGUCAGUCACUGCAACUUUGAAGAGAGAGUGGGGUAUUUCUAGCUAGGAAUGUAAGUCAGAAUAGGAGAGAAGGUAGACAUCAUGGCUUUUUCAUCUCAUCACACGGCACUCUGAUUAUUUUGCAUAGCCUUCUAAGAAGGAGCCUGUGUGGCACUUGACAUCAGCCCUCUCUUGAGAUUUAUGUUUAGCACGGAAGGUAAAAUGGAGAUGUUGCUGAACCCUGCCUAACACGGCGGUUCUUCAGAUAAGACCCAUAGAAUUGCAGCCCUGGUCAAAAAUAUCUACAGAAAGGAAGUACCGGAGCUGCUUACAUCCCUUUCUUCUCCCUUUAAUACUUGGCAGGCUUUCACUUAGCUUGGUCAGGAAGUUAAUAUGGGGUGGUAGCUGGAGAGGUCACUUGCAUCGAGCAAUCUGAGAUACUAGCUGCCUGCUCUCAUCUCUCGCCAGGAAGGGCACAGGCAGAACUGUAGGCGGUUGCUUGAUUAUUAUUUUUUUAUAAUUAUUUUUUUCCUGUGCUGCUUCUAAGAUUUCCUGGUGUUGUAAGGCUUCGGAAAGAAAAUGAAGCUCUGUGCACUGUCUGAUGGUUGGGUCUAGAAGGGAUUUCUUGCAGAUUACAUUUUGUGAGAAGUAGCCUGUUAAUUUUUGUAGCAGAAAGAAGCUCUGGAGGUGAGUGGCACCAUUCCAGGUUAGCACAAUGAUUCACAGCCCUGAGCAGGGCAACAGGAUGCGAUUUAGCAGCCUUGAUGGGGGAGGAGGCAUGGAAACUUUCUAAAAUAUUAUUUCCAUUGCCAGGCCAUUUACUUAGGAAAAUUCUUACACUGGAGCCUGUCUCUGCCCUUAUCUUCUGCUGCUGACCCUCGAGUUUCUUCCUUCCUGCUUCUCAGAUGAGCUUGGAUAUCCAUGUUACCUCUGACUGAUGCUUCUUUGCCUCUGCUUCCUACCAGCUGUGUCUGUCAUAGUCAUCAGCGGGUUGUAGGGCUGGAAGUGAGGUAGAAACAAGAAGAAAAAGUGAUGCAUUUUUUUUCCUUAUGCCUGCUUGUCUUGUCUUACAUGUUGACCAUAAGAUGUUUUUAAUUUGUAGGCAAUAUGCAUGUUGAGAGCAGCUUUCUGCUUCAUUCCUGUGUUAGUAUCUGAGAGAUGGAAAACACUUCAAUUACCAGUUGGACAGGGUUUUCCAAAAGUUAUAAUUCUCAUGAACUUUGUGGAACUUAGUGUUUAUAUUUAUAUAUCCUACUCUUGGAUUAUAGUUGUCUGUAUUUAUUUGUAUAAG